This is a long non-coding RNA of Melopsittacus undulatus (budgerigar), 989 nucleotides long. RefSeq lists it as uncharacterized. Lineage: Eukaryota; Metazoa; Chordata; Aves; Psittaciformes; Psittaculidae. The record is from RefSeq and is a predicted model, not a curated record. The transcript is spliced from 4 exons.
UUGAUAGAAUGUCUCUGGGGCUAGGUGAGGAAGAAGACCAACCAGCUAACAGAUGGAACAAAACCCCAUCACAACACUGCAAUCACACCUCACUCUGUGGGCCCUGUGGAUAGAACUAGAAUUUUCCAUUGCUCUCAGGUGCCUCGUUAAGGCACUGAGGGCAUUAGUAAGCCUUAAUGACCCUAAACAGCCUCACCUGUGCACCAGACCACACCCAGGAGCCCUAUUUAAACCGAGCUCUGUACCUCAGUUUUCUUUAGAACUCUGUUGGAGGAAUGCUGCUCUUCAGCUCUGUCCCUGCCUGUGAAGAUUCUUAGUCUGGACUUCAGACUGACUGCCUGGCUUGAUCUUCUAUAUGAUUAUAGAGCAGCUUGGCAAUUGCUGGACCUGAUGGUGAUUUGUGGACUGGAUUGCUGCUUGUUCACAAGCCUGAUAGACUCCUGGCUGGACUUGGCUGCUGCUGGACCUUCUCUUCUUGGGUACCUUGAAAUUGGGCCUAGGCUGGCAGAGGUCUCUUCUCCUGCUGUGGGAGCCCAGAGGUGGCCUGGUCUGCUCUUGUUUCCUGAGGGCUGUGGAGAUCCCUGCAAGUUCCUGUCCUUCACCUCUUGGGGAGUUUACUUACUGGAUGCACUUCCUGGCCUUGUGUUUGACGCAGCAAAAGAAGAUGUGGCACUGCGGACGAGCAUACCGAGGAAGCUGCUUCUGCAGGUGGAUGUAGCUGACUCAAGGGGAAAGCUGAGCAACCUUGGAUACUGAGCUCUAAUUGCCUUGGCAGAGAUCAUUCUCUGCACGAAAACAUGGGAAAUUACAGAAGCAUAACAAGACAAUUGACCUUGCUUAUGCCUGCCAAGAAUCUUCUUGUCCAGCAACAAGGCUCAGGGUAUUGGGAUCGCUCACUGCGUGGCCUUGGCUCUGCAAGAAUUGCAUGAGUGCGGACUUGUAGAAAUGCUUUUUGUUGUGUUAAUAAAAAAAUGGAGAGGGUGAGGGUG